AAGUCGUAACAAGGUUUCCGUAGGUGAACCUGCGGAAGGAUCAUUACUAGUAGUUGGUUGGGUGUGGGGGGUUAUGUUAUAAUGACUUCCAACAUACCACAUUUGCGCUUGUCUUGUUUCACAGAGUAAAUUGCCUUAUAAUCAGACAUAACUUUUAACAAUGGAUCUCUGGGCUCUU
RNAcentral lists this unclassified non-coding RNA (178 nucleotides) under fungal sp. RNAcentral describes it as "partial internal transcribed spacer region". The stretch from base 1 to 46 matches the Rfam family "Eukaryotic small subunit ribosomal RNA", at positions 1786 to 1831 of the family's 1831-position model. The record is from RNAcentral. Lineage: Eukaryota; Fungi.